AUUGAACGCUGGCGGCAUGCCUUACACAUGCAAGUCGAACGGCAGCGGACCUUCGGGUGCCGGCGAGUGGCGAACGGGUGAGUAAUGCAUCGGAACGUACCUUUCAGUGGGGGAUAACGUAGCGAAAGUUACGCUAAUACCGCAUAUUCUGUGAGCAGGAAAGCAGGGGAUCGCAAGACCUUGCGCUGAUUGAGCGGCCGAUGUCAGAUUAGCUAGUUGGUGAGGUAAAGGCUCACCAAGGCGACGAUCUGUAGCGGGUCUGAGAGGAUGAUCCGCCACACUGGAACUGAGACACGGUCCAGACUCCUACGGGAGGCAGCAGUGGGGAAUUUUGGACAAGGGGGGCAACCCUGAUCCAGCCAUGCCGCGUGAGUGAAGAAGGCCUUCGGGUUGUAAAGCUCUUUCGGCCGGGAAGAAAUCGCACGGGCUAAUACCCUGUGUGGAUGACGGUACCGGAAUAAGAAGCACCGGCUAACUACGUGCCAGCCGCCGCAGUAA
This 498-nucleotide ribosomal RNA is filed under the name uncultured bacterium. RNAcentral's name for it is "partial 16S ribosomal RNA". It matches the Rfam family "Bacterial small subunit ribosomal RNA", at positions 30 to 523 of the family's 1533-position model. The record is from RNAcentral.